CAGUAGGUCUGGGUGGGGCCUGAGAAUCUGCAUUUCUAACAAAGCUCCCAGGUGAUGCUGGACACUGCUGAUCCAG
RNAcentral lists this microRNA precursor (76 nucleotides) under Mustela putorius furo (domestic ferret). Its description in RNAcentral is "miRNA (ENSMPUG00000022767.1)". Lineage: Eukaryota; Metazoa; Chordata; Mammalia; Carnivora; Mustelidae. The record is from RNAcentral.